AUUUCGGUAAGAGCGACCGGUCCGCCGUUUGGUGUGCUUUGGUUGGUUUUAACUUCCUGUAGAGGACGUGUUCUGGGCUUAACGGUCUGGACUCGGAGUCUACGUGGUUACUUUGAAAAAAUUAGAGUGUUCAAAGCGGGCUUACGCUUGAAUAUUUCAGCAUGGAAUAACACUAUAGGACUCCUGUCCUAUUUCGUUGGUCUCGGGACGGGAGUAAUGAUUAAGAGGAACAGUUGGGGGCAUUCGUAUUUCAUUGUCAGAGGUGAAAUUCUUGGAUUUAUGAAAGACGAACUUCUGCGAAAGCAUUUGCCAAGGAUGUUUUCAUUAAUCAAGAACGAAAGUUGGGGGCUCGAAGAUGAUUAUAUACCAUCCUAGUCUCAACCAUAAACGAUGCCGACUAUGGAUUGGCGGAUGUUAAUUGAUGACUCCGUCAGCACCCUUAUGAGAAAUCAAAGUUUUU
RNAcentral lists this ribosomal RNA (460 nucleotides) under uncultured eukaryote. Its description in RNAcentral is "SSU rRNA". It matches the Rfam family "Eukaryotic small subunit ribosomal RNA", at positions 638 to 1108 of the family's 1831-position model. The record is from RNAcentral.